Molecule: long non-coding RNA, 2259 nt
Filed under: Xyrichtys novacula (pearly razorfish)
Lineage: Eukaryota; Metazoa; Chordata; Actinopteri; Labriformes; Labridae
Source: RNAcentral
GGGCCAAUCAGAGACCGUGUUUCCACUGUUACCCGGAAAACAGGGAAAGGCAGCCCCUGAUUGGUCCAUGUAUAGUGGUGACGUCUAAAACAUGCUGCGGGACUUUUCAAAGCGCCGUUCAUUCAGAACGCCGUUAAUUCUGCAGUUGACUCUGCAAAGUCGAAAGAAAUCGUUUAUAUCCGACGUCUUCUGCGGAUAUUAACGAUUUCUGCCGACUUUGCAGAGUCAACUGCAGAAUUAACGGCGCUUUGAAAAGUCCCGCAGCAUGUGUUAGACGUCACUAUCUACACAUGGAACAAUCAGGGGCUGCCUUUUCCCUGUUUUCCGGGUAACCGUGGAAACAGGGUCUCUGAUUGGCCCGGUUAUUUUCUGAUCGGGAAUACACGCUCCCAAUGUGCCGAAGUCCAGACUGUUGUGGGAAGGAACUGCAAGUGAUUCAAGUGAUAAGGUAGGAGACCACAGUCAUUUUUUCACAUUCAUGUGUAUUUUUAUCUAUUCUACGCUAUUUAGAUAAUAACAAUAAUUCUUUUUAUUAUUAUUGCAUAAAACUGCUUAAAAGCUGUUUUGUAAAAAGUCAUUUUAACAUGAGAUUGUCUUUAAGUGAUUCAGAACAUUCACAGCUGUAUUUUUGAAAAGAAAAAGUAAAAAAAUUCAACAAUCUGAACUGAAACUCUGAUCCUCUCAUCAGACGUCUUUACUUUCUCUAUUGAGUCUCUGACUCAACUUACCCCUGAACUACUAUGAUGACUUUAUUAGUCCUCUGAGCUAAAAUGGUGGACUUUUAGCUCAUAGAUACCACAAUUGAUGUAUAAAACACAUUUAAAAUGAUCUUUUUUGGUCUGAACACAAUUGUAAUAAAACUUUUGACAGACUAAAUUCACUUUCAAGAGUGAACAAUGUUUUUUUUUUUUUUUUUUUUUUUUUAAAUAAAUGUCUAACCCCUUUACCCAUGUGCUUCUAACCUUCACAGACUUCAUGAAUGGAUGCCCAUCUCCUAAAUAUUUGGUCACGUGAUCAAUUUCUUUUACCAUUUCCAAGCAACAGGGGGUGGCUCAACUUACCCUUUGGCUUAACUUACCCCACUCUCCCCUGUACAGAUGUAAUAGAUUCUUUUUUUUAGACUGUAAAAGUAUAGGCUACUUUAGAGGUUUCUUUCCCCUUAUUUUCUUUCUAAAUCUCCUUCCGUUCAAUUUCAUGUGUGAUAUGAGCCGGUCAUGUAGAGUUUCGUCUAAGAGCAUUUUUAUCAGCUUUGUCACAGAGGGCCUUACAGGAAGUAACAGCCAGUUCAUGAGAUGAGACAAAAAAAAGCAAGAAGAAAAAAAAAACUGAGAAACUAUGGCUUUAUUUAUGUUUUCAAAGUACUUCUGUCAGCUCAUUACUGGUUUGGGGUCAGUACAACACUUUAGCAUUUUCUUUUGUUUGUCUGAUUUAUUACCUGAUGGACCCUCACUGUACUUUAUGUGUGCCAGCACUAACUGGACUCAAAAGGAGCAAGUCCUUUACUGUCCAAACAGUUAGGGUCACAUUUCUAUGCUUUAAAAGUAUAAUACUUUAUAAUACUACUUUUACUUCUGUGGCCUCAAUAAGAUAGGAGAAGACACCAAAUUAAGCUGUUUUUAUUUGUUUGUAGAGGAGCAGGUACGUGUUAUGUCUGUGAUACAAUGUCCAACACAGUGGUUUUCAACAUGAUCAUGGUAGGAUCGAUCUGCGCUUUGAUUGAUCAAGAGGAUAUGUAGGCUUUUAAUUGUGUCAGAGCUGCUUGAACUUAUAUACUUUUGUCACUAACACAUCAAAAUACGUAAAGGUGAUGAAAAUGAAGCAUGUGGCGCUGCUGCCGUCAUGUCCCUGAGGGCUGCACGUGGGGCAAUCUCUACUAACUGUCAGAAUCACACUCAGUGACACUGCAGAGUUAGUGGAUAUUAGUAAAACUACUUUCCAUGAGCUGUGCAGUCAUUAAAUGUCUGUUGAUGACACUUUGGAUUUUUACAUGCAACAAUAGAGUUAGGAGAUGGUUUGGUUUUCUCUUCUGCACUUUGGAGAAAUGUGAGGAUGAGACAAGCUGAUAAAAACAUAAGCUGUUAUCUCCUGUGAUGUUUAAAAAAAAGGCUCACUACAGUUUUGCGUAAAUAAAAUAAACUUACUUUAGUAAUUGUGAUGACUUGGGCCUGUUAUAUUGAUAUUUAAUAGGAUUACAUGUGUAAAAUAUCUUUGAAAAAUCGAACUUCACCCUUUCACCACUUGCUUGCCAAUUCCUCUGAA